CCUACGGGAGGCAGCAGUCGAGAAUCAUUCACAAUGGGGGAAACCCUGAUGGUGCGACGCCGCGUGGGGGAAUGAAGGUCUUCGGAUUGUAAACCCCUGUCAUGUGGGAGCAAAUUAAAAAGAUAGUACCACAAGAGGAAGAGACGGCUAACUCUGUGCCAGCAGCCGCGGUAAUACAGAGGUCUCAAGCGUUGUUCGGAAUCACUGGGCGUAAAGCGUGCGUAGGCUGUUUCGUAAGUCGUGUGUGAAAGGCGCGGGCUCAACCCGCGGACGGCACAUGAUACUGCGAGACUAGAGUAAGGGAGGGGGAACCGGAAUUCGCGGUGUAGCAGUGAAAUGCGUAGAUAUCGAGAGGAACACUCGUGGCGAAGGCGGGUUCCUGGACAUUAACUGACGCUGAGGCACGAAGGCCAGGGGAGCGAAAGGGAUUAGAUACCCGUGUAGUC
This 446-nucleotide ribosomal RNA is filed under the name uncultured bacterium. Its description in RNAcentral is "partial 16S ribosomal RNA". It matches the Rfam family "Bacterial small subunit ribosomal RNA", at positions 338 to 795 of the family's 1533-position model. The record is from RNAcentral.